This 322-nucleotide ribosomal RNA is filed under the name uncultured eukaryote. Its description in RNAcentral is "partial 18S ribosomal RNA". It matches the Rfam family "Eukaryotic small subunit ribosomal RNA", at positions 1470 to 1795 of the family's 1831-position model. The record is from RNAcentral.
CCCUUAGAUGUUCUGGGCCGCACGCGUGCUACACUGAACGGUUCAAUGGGUAAGGUAGUGCGAAAGCAUGACCUAAUCUCGAAAUCCGUUCGUGCUGGGGAUAGAAGCUUGCAAUUAUCCUUCUUGAACGAGGAAUACCUUGUAAGCGUGAGUCAUCAUCUCACGCUGAAUACGUCCCUGCCCUUUGUACACACCGCCCGUCGCUCCUACCGAUUGAGUGUUCCGGUGAGGCUUUGGGAGAAUGGCCUCAACAUGAGUUUAUCGUGUUUUGCCGUUUGAACUUAGUCAAACCUUAUCACUUAGAGGAAGGAGAAGUCGUAAC